RNAcentral lists this ribosomal RNA (259 nucleotides) under uncultured bacterium. RNAcentral describes it as "partial 16S ribosomal RNA". It matches the Rfam family "Bacterial small subunit ribosomal RNA", at positions 793 to 1050 of the family's 1533-position model. The record is from RNAcentral.
GUCCACGCCGUAAACGAUGUCAACUAGCCGUUGGAGAUCUUAGUAUCUUUAGUGGCGUAGCUAACGCGCUAAGUUGACCGCCUGGGGAGUACGGUCGCAAGAUUAAAACUCAAAUGAAUUGACGGGGGCCCGCACAAGCGGUGGAGCAUGUGGUUUAAUUCGACGCAACGCGAAGAACCUUACCUGGUCUUGACAUCCUCAGAACUUUCCAGAAAUGGAUUGGUGCCUUCGGGAACUGAGUGACAGGUGCUGCAUGGCU